AGGAAGUUCAUAUCCACCUACCGAUGACGUCAGAGAACAGCCUGGAGCAACGUGUCCCUCAGUUUGACUCGCAGGAUUCUCAGGUCACAGCUGGAUUCAGGCCUCGGCGGGGACAUCUGGACGCCGUCAGGUCUCGGCUGGUCCUCUGUCUCGUCCUCCUCUGCGUCCUGACGAUGUCUGCUGUUUCCCUGCAGCCUUUUAACCGAUGACCGGCGAGCACGCUCACAUCUGGACCAUGACGUCACUCAGAGGUUAUUGCUGUAUUUAGCCACUGACUGACGGAGCCGCCGGCCAAUGAGAGCGCGGCUCUGCUCCGCGCCCCGCUGUGAUUGGCUGCUGCGGUGACGGGGGGCGGGGCGCUGAGAUUACAGCAGCAUCUCGGGCUGCAGAGCCGCGGACAUCUGGAGCCGCUCCGCCGGGAAUCAAACCUCCGAGCAUCGACACCCCGCUUCCUGCCCGCCCGGGGGCCAGCGUCUGAUUCCGGGGAGAAGGCCGCCGGGCUCCGGUGCCGCCGUCCGGCUCCGCGGGCCGAGCUGCACCGGGAGGCGGCUGCGCUCCGGAGGGACCGACCGACCGAGCCUGCCGGUAAAAACACGGAACUCCGGCUGAAACCCGGGAGGAGGGGUGAUGGACUGAAGUGAUCCGACAUCCGAGAGGGGUUAGGCCCGAUGGAAGCUGCGACACACCCGGAGCGUCCCGGUCCCGGUUGCUGCUGCGCUCUGGACUGAGGACUCUGUGCGUCUGUGAGGGUCUGAACACAUUAAUUUCUCCUUCAGUUUGUCUGAUCUUUGCUCUGAUUCACCAGAGUUUCUCCUCCUCCUCCUCCUCCUCCUCCUCCUCCUGCUGGUCUGGAUUAGAGCCCAUCAGGAUCAUGAAUCAUCCACCCUCUGCUCCUCUAAUCUGGGUUUUACCGAGCUGGAUUUAAAUCUGAGAUCUGAUCUGGAUUACUCUGCUCCUGGAUCUGAUCGGGUCUCAUCUGACCCGGUCUGAGCCUGGUCUGGUCCUGAUCUGGUCCCGGUCCUCUGGUCCUGGUCUCAGGGAGUCCUGCUGUCACCAUGCCGACGUCCCGGCCGGGUUCGGCGGCGGUGGAGUUCUGGGUGGACGGGUCGCGGCGGGACGGGGCGGUGGAGGAGUUCUACACCCUGAGCUCGGAGCUGGGCAGGUCUGGACCA
Molecule: non-coding RNA, 1172 nt
Organism: Plectropomus leopardus (leopard coralgrouper)
Lineage: Eukaryota; Metazoa; Chordata; Actinopteri; Perciformes; Serranidae
Source: RefSeq, a predicted model, not a curated record